UAAGAAGCCAGUUGUCUCAUCUUCACUGGAGAAAAACAUUAGUAGAUGCAGCUACUAAAUCUUUAGUAACCGAAACAUUGGUAAAAUAUACACGUUUUUUGUACAUAUUACCAAAUCUUUGUAAAACUUAUAUCAAAUGCAAUGCUUAGCAACUGUGUGUGUGCAUUCGCCAUUUCUCUAGUGGAAGUGGAGCGAUUUGGAGCUUCUAAUUGUAGAAAACAAAUUGCACUAAGCAAUCAUCAGCUGAACUAAACUACCAGCGCCGAUUCGGACAACAUCGUCUUGGAUGAGGAGCAGCAGCACCUGCGCAGAUCUUCGGUGUUGGCCCAACUGCUGCUCACAACAAACUUCUGCGAAAAUGAAAAACUGCAAAGGUUUGUGUGAAUAUUAAUAUUAUAAUAUA
Toxorhynchites rutilus septentrionalis is the source of this 403-nucleotide long non-coding RNA. RefSeq lists it as uncharacterized. The record is from RefSeq and is a predicted model, not a curated record. The transcript is spliced from 3 exons. NCBI's taxonomy places the organism in Eukaryota, Metazoa, Arthropoda, Insecta, Diptera, Culicidae.